Non-coding RNA from Ovis aries (sheep), 72 nucleotides. Lineage: Eukaryota; Metazoa; Chordata; Mammalia; Artiodactyla; Bovidae. The record is from Rfam.
UCCCUGGUGGUCCAGUGGUUAGGAUUCUGGGUUUUCACUACCACAGCCCAGGUUCAGUCCCUGGUUGGGGAA